AAUGAACGCUGGCGGCAUGCCUAAGACAUGCAAGUCGCACGAGAAAGUAGCAAUAUGAGUAAAGUGGCGCACGGGUGAGUAAUACCUGGGGUAACGCGCCCUCUCGCUGGGGGACAACAGGGGGAAACCCUCGCUAAUACCGAAUAGAUUCUGUCGGGACUUUGGUUCCUGAUAGACAAAGCCGUAAGGCGCGAGAGGAACGGCCCGGAUCCUAUUAGCUAGUUGGCGGGGUAACGGCCCACCAAGGCUAUGAUGGGUAGGCUGGUCUAAGAGGAUGAUCAGCCACACUGGUACUGGAACACGGACCAGACUCCUACGGGAGGGCAGCAGUUAGGAA
RNAcentral lists this ribosomal RNA (337 nucleotides) under uncultured bacterium. Its description in RNAcentral is "bacterial SSU rRNA". It matches the Rfam family "Bacterial small subunit ribosomal RNA", at positions 29 to 361 of the family's 1533-position model. The record is from RNAcentral.